GAUGAACGCUGGCGGCGUGCCUAAUACAUGCAAGUCGAGCGAACAGACGAGGAGCUUGCUCCUCUGACGUUAGCGGCGGAUGGGUGAGUAACACGUGGAUAACCUACCUAUAAGACUGGGAUAACUUCGGGAAACCGGAGCUAAUACCGGAUAAUAUAUUGAACCGCAUGGUUCAAUAGUGAAAGACGGUUUUGCUGUCACUUAUAGAUGGAUCCUCGCCGCAUUAGCUAGUUGGUAAGGUAACGGCUUACCAAGGCAACGAUGCGUAGCCGACCUGAGAGGGUGAUCGGCCCCACUGGAACUGAGACACGGUCCAGACUCCUACGGGAGGCAGCAGUAGCGAAUCUUCCGCAAUGGGCGGAAGCCUGACGGAGCAACGCCGCGUGAGUGAUGAAGGUCUUCGGAUCGUAAAACUCUGUUAUUAGGGAAGAACAAAUGUGUAAGUAACUAUGCACGUCUUGACGGUACCUAAUCAGAAAGCCACGGCUAACUACGUG
RNAcentral lists this ribosomal RNA (497 nucleotides) under uncultured bacterium. RNAcentral's name for it is "partial 16S ribosomal RNA". It matches the Rfam family "Bacterial small subunit ribosomal RNA", at positions 28 to 507 of the family's 1533-position model. The record is from RNAcentral.